RNAcentral lists this long non-coding RNA (7250 nucleotides) under Medicago truncatula (barrel medic). RNAcentral's name for it is "long non-coding RNA (MTRU_LNC006894)". The record is from RNAcentral. Lineage: Eukaryota; Viridiplantae; Streptophyta; Magnoliopsida; Fabales; Fabaceae.
GUAUUCAUAAACUAUUGCCUUAAAGUCGUCACCUUUGUGAUCCACACUAGAGCAACAUGUGAUAAUCUUGACUAGAUUUCUAUGCCUGAUAUUUCUAAAAGCAUUACAUUCGGCAAGGAAACUUUUAUGAGCUCCUUUCUUCUGAAGGUUUAGAACCUUUACAGCAACAACUCUUUCUUCUGAAUUAAGUCUUCCUUUGUACACAAAACCUAUACCUCCGGUUCCUAUCAAGUUCUGAACCGAAAACCCAUUUGUGGCAUGGUGUAACUCUUGGUAUGAUACCUUCGGAAAUUGCUCAAUUGUUGAAUCAGUGGAUGCUUUUCUCUGCCUUUUCCUCAUUAUCUGAUAGAUGAUGAUAGUAAGGACAAGUGACAAUAGAAGAAUAAAUGCAAUUGAGAAGAUGAUGAUGAUGAUGAUCAAUUUGCGGCCAACAUGGUGUUUUCUCUUUUUCAAACUUUUGGGUGGGCAACGCUGUAGAUUCAAUUUUGCUACCCCGCCGCAAAGCCUGUCAUUGCCAGUCAAUGAAACUCUAUUAGCAUUUUGGAAAACGCCAUGCAUGGGAACCUCACCCUCCAACUUGUUAAAAGAAGCACUGAACCAUUCUAACACAGAAUUAUUUUGUAAUUCCUGUGGAAUUGAACCAAACAAGUUGUAUCGUGAUAGGUCUAGUUGUAGAAGACCUUUUAGUGAAGCUAUAGAAGAUGGUAUGAUUCCAUCUAAAGAAUUGCCCUCUAAAUAUAGGUACUCCAAGCUAGAGCAAUCUCCAAUAUUUUCGGGAAUGCCUCCAGAGAGAUGAUUCUCAGAUAUAUCAAGUGUCCCGAUGUUUUUAAGCAUGCCCACCUCAGGAGGCAAAUUACCACUAAAUGAGUUAUGUGAUAGGUUGAGUAGUAUUGAUAAGUAGGAAAUGCCAAGAAGUUGUGUUGGUAUAGCUCCACUAAGGUUGUUCAUUGAAAAGUCUACUAUUUGCAACUUUUUGCAAUUUUCAAUGGUUGAGGGAAUCUCUCCAAUCAACAAAUUGUUUGAUAAAUCAAACUCAGACAAGUGACUGAGAUUUCCUAAAAAGGCCGCCGGAAUGGUACCCGACAGUUUGUUUUUUCCUAAAUACAAUUCUUGCAUGUUUUGAAACUUAGCAAAACUCUCUGGAAUAACUUCAGUUAAGUAGUUGUUCUCUAUGGACAAAUAAAUCAAGUUUACAAGAUUUCCCAGUUCUGUUGGAAUUUUUCCAGAUAUUUGAUUGUCAGCCAUAGCAAGUUGUGAAAGAUGCGUGGACAAACUGCCAAUAAUUUUAGGCAAAGGACCUCCAAAGUUGUUUUCUUCGACAUCGACUACAUCAAGCUGACUACAGUUUACCAAAAGACUUUAUAAACUCCCAGUCAUCACCACUAGUUGAUGAAUUGCUGCAAAGAUUAUUUUCGCCUACAGCCAGAACAGAAAGAUCUUGUAGCCUUCCAAGAUUUGGAAUUUGUCCUUCAAAAUUGUUAGAUACAAUAUCAAAACUUUGAAUCCGGGAUGCAUUACUGAUGGAUGUUGGGAUUGGACCUGAGAAUUGAUUUCCACCAAACCAAAAUCUCCUAAGAUUUGGGAGGGUUGUGAACACGUUGGUUGGAAGUGAACCGUGGAAUUCGUUGUCUGCUGUGUAAAGGUCAGUGAGAGAUGACAAAUUGUAAAGUGACAAAGGAAGCGUGCCAGAUAAUUUGUUUUGUGACACUGAAAUCUUUGUCAAGUUUUUUAAGAGGCCUAUUUCUUCUGGUAUGUUUCCCUCCAGGUAGUUUUUUGCAAAAGAGAGAACAGUGAGGGAAGAAAGAUUCCAUAUAGAAGGUGGAAUUCGUCCGGUUAGAUUAUUUUUUGCAACAUUGAAAAAUUCAAGCUUGGCAAGGGAGUGAAUUUCCUUCGGUAAUUGGCCAAUAAAUUGAUUUCCAUAUACUCCCAUUGCCCUCAGCUGAGAGCAAUUUGUCAAACUAAUUGGAAAUUGACCUCCCAAAGUAUUAUUGUGCAAAGUGAUAAUCUACAGUCGAAAUAAACGGCCUAAUUCUGGUGGGACAUUGGCAUGGAAGCUAUUAUCAUCAAGGUAGAGGAGGUGAUAUAACACCUUGCAUUUUGUAUCCUUUCAACUUUAUCUUUGUGACUCUUUGAUGUCUAUGACCGCAUGUUACUCCAUGCCACAUGCAAAAGUGGGUAGAACUAUUCCAAGAGUUUAAUACUCCAAAAGGGUCACUGGACAUUGAUUCUUUGAAUUUGAGUAAUGCAGAAUGGUCAGUGUUGUUUCCUAAGGCAGAGGCUGAUUUGUUCAGGAAAUUUGAAGUAAAGAGAAGAAACAAGACAAGGUGGCAUAUAGUAGACCAAAAGAUACUUAACAUUAGUUUGGAUUUGGUGCAAAACUCAAAAGUAAGAGUCAGAGUCAGUCUUCGCUAGAGUGCCGGUCAAUGUGGUGUAUAUAUAUAUAGCCAAAUGUGAUAUGUCAUUCGCUUCGUUUUCCAUGUAGACUUUACGGUUGACGACUGACUAUAUAUGAAACCAACCCAAGUAGCACGACGGGCGUCAAGGUUGAUAAGGAUAGAGAUAUUUUCAUUAGAUUGUGCCACGUGCCUAAGGCUUUGUUUGCGUUUGGAGGGGAGGGGAAGAGAAGACUUUAAGGGAUGAAAAAUACGAGGGAAAAUGAAGAAUUUUUUAAAAUAGUAGUUUUUUAGAGAAUGAUAAAUUAAUACAUAUGAUUAUUAUAUUUUUAGUUUUAAAAAUAAUAUAACAACAUAGAUUAAAUUUGAAGAAUUCAUAUAAACUCUCCAAAAACCCCCAAAACUUUUUUUCCAAUACAAUUUUUUAGUUCCCACCAAAUGAGGAGGGUUUAGUAUUAUGAAGAAAAGUUAACCACCCAAAGCCCUCCCCUCUCAUUUCCCUUUAUUUCUUCCACUUGCUCAUUCUUUUUUUCCUAACUCUUCCCCUCCAAACUCGCAAACAGAGUCUAAGAGUGUGUUUAGAUGAGGGAAUGUUUUAAGGGAAUAUGAUGUUUUGAAGAAAUUCAAAUACUUUGAUGUGAAUUCCAUUGUUUGGAUAAUAAUUUGAAGAAUUUUCAAAAUGAUGGAAAUUUAUGAAGUAUUUUGUUCAAGUUAAAUUUAAAGAAUUUCAAAUGACACCUAAAAGUUAAGAAUUUCAAAAUUCUUCAUUGUUAUAAUUUUUUAAAUUUUACAUUUUGCCCCUCAAAUUUUCUAAAAAUUGCAAUCUGACCCCUCAAAAUUUUUGAAACUUUCAAAUUGACCCCUAAUUUCAUUUUUUAAAUUUGAUCCAAAAAAAUUAAAAUUUAUAAAAGUUGCCCAAAAAUUAUGACAAUAUUUGUUUUUAUUUCUCCAUCCAAACAAUAAUAUUUAGGAAUGAAAGCAAUUUAAUUGAAUCAUUUGAAUUACCUAAAAUUCUAAAUUCUUCAAAAUUUCUCAAUUACUCCAUCCAAACACACUCUAAGAAUUUUUUAUUAAGGAUUACAUAAAAAUAAAUUGAAUUACAAAUACAAACACAUGUGAAAAUAUUUAUCACACAAUUUUUCAUUCCAGUUUUGAUUUCUUAAUUAAUGCAUAAUGACACUUCCUACUUCCUUUGUUGUUUUUUCUCUAUUUCAAAAUAAUUGUCACUUUAAAAUAUUAGUGCAAUAUUUGUUAUUUUUUUCUCACUGUUAUACAUUUAUUUAUUGAAUUUCAUCAAACUUAAUUACUCAACUAACUACUAUUAAUAAAGAUAUUAAUUUUAUCAUUGAAAUCGACAUAAUUAAUAAUAAAAAAAAAAAUAUGCACAAAUUUAAAGGAUUAUUAUUUUGAGACAGGAGUAACAUUUUUAUAUUUGUCUUGUCCAUCCCCGAGAUACGCUUCGAGCUAACUAUUGGUCCAUUUGUUAAAGUUUUUUUAAAUGACUAUAACAUAAAUAUCUCUCUAAAUCUUUUUUCUCCUUUCUUUAAAUCUUAAUAAGUGGUUUUCACAUAUAUCUAGUUUUUUCUUUUAUGUUUUUUGUUAUUUCGUCGUCUAAGUGCGGCGUUGUGGUGUUCUUCGUCUUCUGCAGCGUUUGAUUUCGUAUCUUGUCCCGGUGUCAUAUUGAAAGAUCGACUUCAGUCAAUUACAACUUCAAUCAAUGAUUUGGGCGUCCACGUUGUAGAUCCGAGCGCACAGGUAUUUCGGUGACUUAGAUUUUAUCAUAUUCUUUAUAUGCAUUUUAUCGUUGUAUGCUAUUAACUUAGAUGUUGUGAGUUUAUUCGCAGAUUCACUCUUUACGUUUUGAGUGAUGUUUGUAUCUGAUGUAUUAUAUCAAUUUGUAUGAAUGAAUAUCGUUUUGUUUUUGUCAAAAAAAUUAUUGUAAUUUUUUUAAUAAAGAAUUUUUAAAAGAAUGUUUUAAAUGAGAAAUUUGUUUAAAUAGCUUCUCAUUAAAAACCAUUGUAAGUAUUUCAUCAUUUUCCUAUGACUUUUUUUUUUUGGAUAAUAAAGUUUUUAAAAACGCUUUAAAUGAAAAGAUAUUUUGAAUAACUUCUGGUAAAAAUUAUUUGAGAGAUAUCUUUUUGAAAAAAAUAUGUGAUUUUUAUUAUGUUAAAUCUUUAACAAUAAAUAUUUAAGUAUUGAAAGACAAAGUUACUCUUUUAAUUUGUAAUAAAUGAGUUUGAAAUAGUUUCUGUUAUUUUUUAUUAAGUUUUCGUAAAAAAACAUUUUUAGGAAUAUCAAGUAAAAUCACUUUGUUGAUAUAUAACAAAAUGAUUGGGUUCAAGUCGUUAAUGAAUUCCUUUGAGAGAGUUAUAAAUGUUUGUGCCAGCCAAACCUUCAGAAAUUUCUUUUAGGCUCGAUAAGUGUUGCUGCUUCAAUAUUUGUAUCUUAUAUCAUUUGAAUUAUCUUGUUUUUGCGUUUCGUUGAAUACAAAAGUAUACUUUAUAAUUCCUUAAAAAUAAGUAUACUUUAUUUGAUUCAUAUGUCCCCAUGUUUUUUCGGUGGCCCAAUCAAUAGAACUUUACAUGUUAAAAUCUCUAAAGCCUUAGCAAUCUACAAAGGUACUUAUUGAGAGUAAACAUUUAAAAUGCUUGAAUUGGCAUGGUAGUGUCUUAUUCACUCCCGCUAAAAUUUAAUCUUAGCAUUCUUUAGUAUGUACUGCAAGUGAUGAGAGCCUGUUUAGUGCUUAAUAUUUCUCUAUAACACAUCAUCUCUUCCACUAAUUCUUAGUUGGACUCCUUCGCAUGGUGAUAUAUGAGCAGUAAGAAAACGUAGGCAAUAAGAUAGGAGACAUGUCAGUAAAUAGUGACGAAAUUACCGUAGAGAUUUACUUUGUCUAGACUUUAAUCCUCACCUCUCGGACUAACUUUUUAGCUUUGUUUGGGAGUUUGGAGGGGAGGGUUUUAGGGGGUUGGAAAUAUAUAGAAAAAUUGACAAAAAAUUCACAUUUUUUGAAAGAACGGUUUUUUAGAGAAUGAUAAACUAAUACUUAUGAUUAAUAUACUUUUAAUUUUAUGAAUAUUAUAACAACAUAGAUUGAAUUUGAAAAAUUCAUAUAAACCCUCCAUAACCCCCCAAAACCCUCCCCCAAUACAAUUUUUGAGUUCCCCCAAAUUAGGGAGAUUUUUUAUUAUGAGUAAAAAAUUAACCUCCAAAGCCCUCUCCUCCCAAUGUCUUCUAUUUUUUCCACUUACUCCUUCCCAUUUUCCAAAACCCUCCCCUUCCCUCCCCUCCAAACUCCCAAAAAGCCUUGAGGUUUAACUAAUUUUAAAGUCUAAAAUUUAAGAUAGUAUCGGAGUCUAUACAUUAAAAGAUAUUAACGGAAACAUUAAAAGAGUCUAAACUUUACAUGCCACAAAUGAGCAUUUUGUAUUAUUCAACACUGAGUUCACAAACGAUUGUCCAUACAUUUUAUUAAUGAGAACACCAAGAGAAAACAAAUCAAAACUGUAUGAUGACAUUAUUAGUAACUAGUGAUGUAACAGUAGUGUGUUGUGCAGCACUCAUAGAAAUGGUGAAGUGGUAUAGACCAUCAACCAGCUCAUUCUUUCCAAUCUUCCUCAAUUUUGGUGUAUCCUAGAUGUAGAAAAAGUCAGAAAUGUGCAGAACAGCAUGUAACAAAAAAUCAAUAGCUAAUCAUACGAUACAUUGGGAUACAAGUAGAAAUAAAAAUACAAAGCCAUAAAAUUAGUUGUAUAAGUUGGGAUACAAGUAGAAAAUUACCUUAUUUCCCUUCAUCAGCCAAAGCUUUUGAAAUGAUAUUCAGUUCAGUUUUGACUUCCUCGAUAUUGAUUCGUUCUCUUGCAGACUCAACUGAACAAGAUAAUCCAAUCUUAAAUAAAGAAGAUAAAGACCUCUCAACAUUGGGAUGCAAAUCCCUUGCAACCUCUGUUGUUACUAAAAGAUGACUGUUUUCCGUUGAGAGGAGAGUUGCAUCAACAAUCUCCAAAAUGUUAUUUGGAAAUGCAAUUUUAACGUAGUUAUGGAGGUUGUACCCAUCUUUAAACAUUUCAUCGGUUGGUCUUCUCCCAGUCAUCAUCUCCAAAAGAAGAAUCCCAAAGCUAUACAUGUCGCCUUCUGUUGACAAUUGAGUAUCCAUUCCAUACUCUGAAAUAUGCAUGUUUCUAACAAAUCAAAUCCUAAUCCAAAACUCAACAUUUCUAUAUAACAGUCACAAAAUAAGUUUCAAACUAUACAUACCUGGAGGAGUAUAACCUAUAGUCCCCUUUAUUCCCAUUGAGCUGGUUUGAUUAUUGGAUUUGCCAUCAAUUGUUGAAACAAGUCUGGCUAAGCCAAAAUCACUCACAUGAGCAACCAUGUCAUCUUCAAGAAGGACAUUGCUUGGUUUUAAAUCACAAUGAACAAUAGGCUUCUCACAUUCAUUGUGAAGAUAGUGUAAUGCUGAAGCGAUUCCAUUAACAUUUUCUAAUCUUUUUUCUAAUUUCAGUGUUCUUUGUUGUUCUGCAUUUUGAUGCAACCAUUCCUCUAAGCUCCCAUUUGUCAUGUAUUCAUAAACUAUUGCCUUAAAGUCGUCACCUUUGUGAUCCACACUAGAGCAACAUGUGAUAAUCUUGACUAGAUUUCUAUGCCUGAUAUUUCUAAAAGCAUUACAUUCGGCAAGGAAACUUUUAUGAGCUCCUUUCUUCUGAAGGUUUAGAACCUUUACAGCAACAACUCUUUCUUCUGAAUUAAGUCUUCCUUUGUACACAAAACCUAUACCUCCGGUUCCUAUCAAGUUCUGAUCCGAGAACCCAUCUGUGGCAUGGUGUAGCUCUUGGUAUGAUACCUUCGGAAAUUGCA